CCUAAGUGAUCAAGAAAUGUGCUUGAAAGAUCGAGCCAUUAGUACUGUGUGUGCAAGACCCAGGACUCAGCUGCUGCAUUUGUAACCUGAGAAAGCAAGUCCCUGCCUUUUUUAUGAGCUCAGCAAAACCAGCAGACCCCACCAUGGAAAGGGAAAACAAAGAAAUGAGGACAUUUGAUCAGUUGCCCACAGUGCCUCUGAGAGCACGAGCCCAGAGCUCUGUUUCUGCAGGAAUGUACCAAACGCACCGCGAGUGAGCUGGUAAUCGCUUGAAGUCUGGGCAAACUGGUUCUCCUGGCACAAGAGAUGGCAGUAAUUGUUCCUCCCCAGCCUGAUGUGGGAGAAGGCUGAGUUUUGCUCUGGACUUGUCUGCACACUCCUGGCCUUCGCCCCUCACCCGGGACAGGCCUGGUCAGGUCUGCCAGGCCCCGGGAGCUUUGCUUGCUGGCCCAGGGCCUCACCCAGUGCAUGCUGCUCUGCCCUGGGCCCUGCUUUCCUGAGGCCCAGCAGCCAGGGGUCUGUGGUACUACCAGCUGAAUUCCAAGUAAACUUUCCCAGAAUCACAGAAUCUCUUGGAAACAGAACCCCUUGGCAAUGUAAACCAUCCUCAAAACUGAGGAAUUACAGAAAAAUAGAACCUCAAGUUUGGAAAAGAUUCUUCAGCAUUGAUGCAGACAGGUUUGUGUUGAGAUGA
This 694-nucleotide long non-coding RNA is filed under the name Felis catus (domestic cat). Its description in RNAcentral is "lncRNA (ENSFCAG00000043781.2)". The record is from RNAcentral. Lineage: Eukaryota; Metazoa; Chordata; Mammalia; Carnivora; Felidae.